Molecule: non-coding RNA, 30 nt
Filed under: Rattus norvegicus (Norway rat)
Lineage: Eukaryota; Metazoa; Chordata; Mammalia; Rodentia; Muridae
Source: RNAcentral
UAGCACUUGUAACAUUUGAUGUGGUGCAUC